Non-coding RNA from Procambarus clarkii (red swamp crayfish), 2410 nucleotides. Lineage: Eukaryota; Metazoa; Arthropoda; Malacostraca; Decapoda; Cambaridae. The record is from RefSeq and is a predicted model, not a curated record.
AUAUAUAUAUAUAUAUAUAUAUAUAUAUUAACGUUUGACGAAAUCAACAAAUCGGUUCUAUAAAAUAUCAGUAUCCCUAUUCAUAGAAAAUAUAGAGAAAUUCAACGAGAUCGUCUAAGAUUUAAGAACAAUUCUCAAAGACAAAUUCAGUUUUUUUAGGGGGGUAAAUGCCCAUAACGCUGCAGCCUUCACAGCAAGAUAUAGGACCCAGAGAGUUGGUCUCGUCACAUGCGUUCCUGGGACCAAGCUUACUUGAGUUUGGUGUAACUCUUAGAAGGGCAGCUCAUGCUGGCAAAGAGGCACAGUCACAACUUGUAGAGGUGAGUGUGUCUGAAGGUCUCGUCGGCUCAUGUGCAAAGUCACACAUGCUCAAGACGAGCAAAGGUCACACAUGCUCAAGACGAGCAAAGGUCACACAUGCUCAAGACGAGCAAAUGGCCCAUGCUCAAGACGAACGCCUCUCCAACAUAAAACAUUACAUCAAUUCCUCUUUAUGGAAAGAAAACAUGAUGUUUUUGAUGGAAAUGUAAGAUUCACUCAGACGAUUGUUACUUUGGCAUUAUAUAAUGUUUCAUACAUAGUGUACGUGUACAUAGUGUUUCAUACAUGUGUAACAAGAAGGAAAUCAACAAUGGGUUUUUAUAUUUAAUAAUUCUCCUUCGAUUAAUAAGUUGUCAUCUUGCUAAGACUGAGGGAAGAAAGGUGCGUAGGUGUAUAUGUUUGCCCUUGAAAGUGUGCGUCAAUAUAUAUAUAUACGUAUGCGCGUGUAUGCUUGCAUAAAUGUCAUCAUAUGUAUGUUUGUAUGUAGAUGAAUGUGUGUGCACACAUUUUAGUUAGUCAUAUAUUUUCAAACCUUUUCGAUCUCCUUAAAUUACUAAAACCCCCCUUGCUGGCGAGUUUUGCCCUCGUGCUGGCCGUGAAAGCUGGACAGGUUUUCGGAGUGAAUUUAAUCUAGACACAUUUCACCCCCGUGUAAAAGUCAGAUGUAACAACCUAUAAUAAGUGAAUUACAUGUUGUUGUAAUGCACUUAUUACACGUGAAAAGUGAGCCUUGGUGAAUUUUUUCCCCUUGUUUUGUGAUUGCCUCGUAAGAAAAGGGGUUCCUGUGGUAACUACUUGUUAUGAGGGGAGACGAAGCACAGUUUUUAACAAAACCACAGAACAAACGAGUAGAAUAAUAGAGAGCUAGUUUUAAACAAGAAUUUUUAUAUGUUAACAAGUCCUACAGGACUUUUUUGUCUUUGCAAUAAAUGCUAUAUUGCAACAUAACAGCGGUUUUUUACAGACACUGUUGAUGCGUGAAUAUUUUCUACCAAUCUGGUGCAAGUGUUGUAGUGACGGAUGAGGAGUAAUUCCACCUCAUUAUUGCUAACUAAUGGGGAGUGAUAAUCCGUCACAUGUUGCAGUGUUACAUGCAAUAAGUUGUUAAAUGUUGUAUAAUGUCCCAGAAAAGAACUUUUUAUACGUAGCUUACUGUUACAUAUUACAGAUAUCACAUGCUGUAACUUACAUGAAAGACUGUGUCCUUCUACACAAAGGAGAGUGUAGACUGUUCAAACGAUAUUAGAUUGAAGACCAUCAUAUAAAGCUAUAUUAUUUUUGUCUUUAGAAAAUAUUAAACAAAUUAACUGAAUUUUAAAUAGGUAUAUUCUUCCCAAUCAAUUGGAAUCGCUGGCUUAGGCGAGGACUUGCGAGACUAAAUUCGUGUUAUCACCAAUUUCGCCUCAGAACGUAAGAAUAUAGGAACAUAUGAAUUGUGAAAACUGUAUAUGGCAUUUAGGACCAUGUGAAGCAACUAUUUAUAUCAUAACAAGCUCUUUCAUAUAUAUGGCUAAUCUGAACAUGAAACAAUUUAGCGGUCCAAUACUCCAGCCAUAUGUGACAUGAUUUUCGAGACGGAUCAAUAAAUUUACAAUGAACAGUGAUUGGCUGAUUAUUCCACCAUAUUGUUAACCUUUUGUAACAUUAAUAAAAUAAACAUAUUAACCAGAGCUUUUAUAUAUAUGUUACUAAAAUAAUCGCCAUGCAUAUUUAAACAGACACAAGCAAGUCAGUCACAAUCAACAUUUAUUAUGAAUAUAUAUAGUUUUAAGAAAAAAUGUUAACAAGAAAAUGUAUAGUUAAUUAUUUGUGUCUAGAAAUGUUUCUUAAGAAUUGCAGGAGCAGCACAGUACUUGACACAAGUCUCCAAGUCCAAGCCACGGAAAUAUUCAUGUAAAUACUGUGUAAGUUUUGUUGGUGAUUUCAUGUUGUUAUGACGUUGUUGAGUACGCAAGUCUAGAGCCCAUUAUUUACUGUCAGUUGCUAAACCUGCUUACACCUUAGCUGGAUUAAGUUCUCAUCUGCUCUGUAACAUAAAGCCUCUUACCCCGUUUGUAUACGAUAUGUACCGAUUAAAAAAAUAACGAAA